This 444-nucleotide ribosomal RNA is filed under the name uncultured bacterium. RNAcentral's name for it is "bacterial SSU rRNA". It matches the Rfam family "Bacterial small subunit ribosomal RNA", at positions 331 to 792 of the family's 1533-position model. The record is from RNAcentral.
CCAGACUCCUACGGGAGGCAGCAGUGGGGAAUAUUGCACAAUGGGGGAAACCCUGAUGCAGCGACGCCGCGUGAAGGACGAAGUAUUUCGGUACGUAAACUUCUAUCAGCAGGGAAGAAAAUGACGGUACCUGACCAAGGAGCCCCGGCUAACUACGUGCCAGCAGCCGCGGUAAUACGUAGGGGGCAAGCGUUAUCCGGAUUUACUGGGUGUAAAGGGAGCGUAGACGGCCAUGCAAGUCUGAUGUGAAAACCCGGGGCUCAACCCCGGGACUGCAUUGGAAACUGUGCGGCUGGAGUGUCGGAGAGGCAACUGGAAUUCCUAGUGUAGCGGUGAAAUGCGUAGAUAUCAGGAGGAACACCGGUGGCGAAGGCGGCUUACUGGACCAUAACUGACGUUGAGGCUCGAAAGCGUGGGGAGCGAACAGGAUUAGAUACCCUAGUA